Molecule: ribosomal RNA, 479 nt
Filed under: uncultured Clostridium sp.
Lineage: Bacteria; Bacillati; Bacillota; Clostridia; Eubacteriales; Clostridiaceae
Description: bacterial SSU rRNA
Rfam family: Bacterial small subunit ribosomal RNA
Source: RNAcentral
UUUGAUCCUGGCUCAGGAUGAACGCUGGCGGCGUGCUUAACACAUGCAAGUCGAGCGAGAGAGUUCCUUCGGGAGCAAUCUAGCGGCGGACGGGUGAGUAACACGUGGGCAACCUGCCUCAUAGAGGGGAAUAGCCUCCCGAAAGGGAGAUUAAUACCGCAUAAUAUCAUUGAGUGGCAUCAUUUAAUGAUUAAAGGAGCAAUCCGCUAUGAGAUGGGCCCGCGGCGCAUUAGCUAGUUGGUGAGGUAACGGCUCACCAAGGCGACGAUGCGUAGCCGACCUGAGAGGGUGAUCGGCCACAUUGGGACUGAGACACGGCCCAGACUCCUACGGGAGGCAGCAGGUGGGGAAUAUUGCACAAUGGGGGAAACCCUGAUGCAGCAACGCCGCGUGAGUGAUGAAGGUCUUCGGAUUGUAAAGCUCUGUCUUCAGGGACGAUAAUGACGGUACCUGAGGAGGAAGCCACGGCUAACUACGUG